GGAGAAACUGUACCUCUUCUAAGUUUCAUACCGAUAACAAUAUUUGUUUUCGCCGGCACGUUUGUCGACCCCCAGAAGCUUGUUCAACCUACCACUGGUGCAUCAUUAACUGGAUCUCAUGCACCACAGACGUACGCUAACCUACAAAGCUAACAACGAGCCAGGCAGAAUGCAACAAGAAGCAUUAUAAGAUGAGACAGAGGGAGUCAGCAAUGUAAACAUGACUGAGAACAGAAACAUUCCUGAUCACCUGAUCAUCAUCAUCAUCUUUUCUCUGCUUGUGUUCUAUUUGCAUGUGAUACAAAUGAAUCACUGGAAAGGAAAAGGUAGAUGCUUUCUGACCUUCUCUGUGUCGAUGCCUUUUGACAUGGCCCAGGUGGAGACAAUGUAGUCCAU
Long non-coding RNA from Silurus meridionalis, 396 nucleotides. RefSeq lists it as uncharacterized. The record is from RefSeq and is a predicted model, not a curated record. The transcript has 3 exons. Lineage: Eukaryota; Metazoa; Chordata; Actinopteri; Siluriformes; Siluridae.